Molecule: ribosomal RNA, 355 nt
Filed under: uncultured Flavobacterium sp.
Lineage: Bacteria; Pseudomonadati; Bacteroidota; Flavobacteriia; Flavobacteriales; Flavobacteriaceae
Description: bacterial SSU rRNA
Rfam family: Bacterial small subunit ribosomal RNA
Source: RNAcentral
UGACGGUACCGUAUGAAUAAGGAUCGGCUAACUCCGUGCCAGCAGCCGCGGUAAUACGGAGGAUCCGAGCGUUAUCCGGAUUCAUUGGGUUUAAAGGGUCCGUAGGCGGAUUAGUAAGUCAGUGGUGAAAUCUCCUCGCUCAACUGUGGAACUGCCAUUGAUACUGUAAGACUUGAAUUAUGUGGAGGUAAGUGGAAUAUGUCGUGUAGCGGUGAAAUGCUUAGAGAUGACAUGGAACACCAAUUGCGAAGGCAGGUUACUACACAAAUAUUGACGCUGAUGGACGAAAGCGUGCGGAUCGAACAGGAUUAGAUACCCUGGUAGUCCACGCCGUAAACGAUGGAUACUCGCUGUU